GAAGAGCUAAAAAAACGAUUUGAACAAGAAGAUGUCUCAUUGGACAAGCCUAUUAUGGCCUCGUGUGGGACCGGCGUAUCAGCUUGCAUCCUGGCAAUGGGGCUUCACCGGUUGGGGAAAACCGACGUGCCGGUCUAUGAUGGGUCGUGGACUGAAUGGGCGACACAACCAGAUUUGCCCAUAGAGGGUGAUGAAUCUUCUUCAUGAAAGUCUCCACGGUAAAGACUAGCGACAAGAUUACAAGCCACAGAAGAAAAUAAUUGUGAUGUUUAACUUGAAGAAAUGGCUUGAAGUAUUCAAAAAUCCAAUUGCUGGCUUUAAAUUUGCCUCAACCCUCAACUAGAAGAGGACUGUAUUUAUAGAACUUGGUUUUUUCUUUUUCUUUUUUUGUUCUGGAUCCAUCUUCCGAAUAAAAUCAAGAAACAGAAUAUUGUUUAUGAUUCUCAAACAGAGAUCUUGAGGCUAUAAUAAACAAGUUUUUUCGGCA
Camelina sativa (false flax) is the source of this 487-nucleotide non-coding RNA. The record is from RefSeq and is a predicted model, not a curated record. NCBI's taxonomy places the organism in Eukaryota, Viridiplantae, Streptophyta, Magnoliopsida, Brassicales, Brassicaceae.